This 59-nucleotide microRNA precursor is filed under the name Ophiophagus hannah (king cobra). RNAcentral describes it as "microRNA oha-mir-451 precursor". Its record names the gene oha-mir-451. It matches the Rfam family "mir-451 microRNA precursor family", at positions 9 to 67 of the family's 71-position model. The record is from miRBase by way of RNAcentral. Lineage: Eukaryota; Metazoa; Chordata; Lepidosauria; Squamata; Elapidae.
GUCAGCGAAACCGUUACCAUUACUGAGUUUAGUAAUGGUAAGGGUUCUUCUGCCCCGCC